GGGCAGCGACUCUCUUUUAGUUUUUAGACGACCUUUUUCGAAGGUAUACUUAAAGAGGGGCUUGCGGCACAUUAGUUAGUUGGUAGGGUAAAAGCCUACCAAGACUAUGAUGUGUAGCUGGACUGAGAGGUUGAACAGCCACAUGUGGGACUGAGACACGGCCCAAACUCCUACGGGAGGCAGCAGUAGGGAAUUUUCGGCAAUGGAGGAAACUCUGACCGAGCAACGCCGCGUGAACGAUGAAGUAUUUCGGUAUGUAAAGUUCUUUUAUUGAAGAAGAAAAAAUAGUGGAAAAACUAUCUUGACGAUAUUCAAUGAAUAAGCCCCGGCAAACUAUGUGCCAGCAGCCGCGGUAAUACAUAGGGGGCGAGCGUUAUCCGGAAUUAUUGGGCGUAAAGGGUGCGUAGGCGGUUUGGUAAGUCUAUAGUUUAAUUUCAGUGCUUAACACUGUUCUGCUAUAGAAACUAUCAGACUAGAGUGAGAUAGAGGCAAGUGGAAUUCCAUGUGUAGCGGUAAAAUGCGUAAAUAUAUGGAGGAACACCCAGAGGCGUAGGCGGCUUGCUGGGUCUUUACUGACGCUGAGGCACGAAAGCGUGGGGAGCAAACAGGAUUAGAUACCCUGGUAGUCCACGCCGUAAACGAUGAGUACUAAGUGUCGGGGAAACUCGGUACUGAAGUUAACACAUUAAGUACUCCGCCUGAGUAGUACGUACGCAAGUAUGAAACUUAAAGGAAUUGACGGGACUCCGCACAAGCGGUGGAUCAUGUUGUUUAAUUCGAAGAUACACGAAAAACCUUACCAGGUCUUGACAUACUCUGCAAAGCUAUAGCAAUAUAGUGGAGGUUACCAGGGAUACAGGUGGUGCAUGGUUGUCGUCAGCUCGUGUCGUGAGAUGUUAGGUUAAGUCCUAAAACGAGCGCAACCCUUGUCACUAGUUGCCAGCAUGUUAUGAUGGGCACUUUAGUGAGACUGCCAAUGAAAAAUUGGAGGAAGGUGAGGAUCACGUCAAAUCAUCAUGCCCCUUAUGAUCUGGGCUACAAACGUGAUACAAUGGCUGUUACAAAGAGUAGCUAAAACGCGAGUUUAUAGCCAAUCUCAUAAAAGCAGUCUCAGUUCGGAUUGAAGUCUGCAACUCGACUUCAUGAAGUUGGAAUCGCUAGUAAUCGCGAAUCAGCAUGUCGCCGUAG
RNAcentral lists this ribosomal RNA (1188 nucleotides) under Candidatus Phytoplasma cynodontis. RNAcentral's name for it is "bacterial SSU rRNA". It matches the Rfam family "Bacterial small subunit ribosomal RNA", at positions 157 to 1365 of the family's 1533-position model. Lineage: Bacteria; Bacillati; Mycoplasmatota; Mollicutes; Acholeplasmatales; Acholeplasmataceae. The record is from RNAcentral.